This 207-nucleotide non-coding RNA is filed under the name Thermobrachium celere. Its description in RNAcentral is "T-box sequence". It matches the Rfam family "T-box leader". Rfam says of the family: Uncharged tRNA acts as the effector for transcription antitermination of genes in the T-box leader family. T-boxes are found upstream of many aminoacyl-tRNA synthetase genes and some amino acid biosynthetic genes usually in Gram-positive bacteria. Lineage: Bacteria; Bacillati; Bacillota; Clostridia; Eubacteriales; Clostridiaceae. The record is from RNAcentral.
AUAAAGACUAUGAAGGGGAAGAGUAGUUUCCAAACACUUUACAGGGAGAAACUGCCAUAGAUUGAGAGCAGUUUUAAAGUUAAGGGAAAUGAAGGACACCCUGGAGUUUGUACCUGAAUUAAGUAGGGCUACACGCUAUCAGCGUUAUAGAUUUAAGUGGGCUAUGCCAAUUAGGGUGGCACCGCGGGAAAUAUACCCGUCCCUUAC